AGAAUGAACGCUGGCGGCAGGCCUAACACAUGCAAGUCGAACGGGUACCUUCGGGUGCUAGUGGCGGACGGGUGAGUAACGCGUGGGAACAUACCCCUUUCUACGGAAUAGCCUCGGGAAACUGGGAGUAAUACCGUAUACGCCCUUCGGGGGAAAGAUUUAUCGGUGAGGGAUUGGCCCGCGUUGGAUUAGGUAGUUGGUGGGGUAAUGGCCUACCAAGCCGACGAUCCAUAGCUGGUUUGAGAGGAUGAUCAGCCACACUGGGACUGAGACACGGCCCAGACUCCUACGGGAGGCAGCAGUGGGGAAUCUUGCGCAAUGCGCGAAAGCGUGACGCAGCAACGCCGCGUGGGGGAAGAAGGCCUUCGGGUUGUAAACCUCUUCAGUUGGGACGAAGGUCGCGCGGUUAAUAGCCGUGGCGGCUGACGGUACCUUCAGAAGAAGCCCCGGCUAACUACGUGCCAGCAGCCGC
This 472-nucleotide ribosomal RNA is filed under the name uncultured bacterium. RNAcentral's name for it is "SSU rRNA". It matches the Rfam family "Bacterial small subunit ribosomal RNA", at positions 26 to 518 of the family's 1533-position model. The record is from RNAcentral.